UCCAGACUCCUACGGGAGGCAGCAGUGGGGGAUAUUGCACAAUGGGGGGAACCCUGAUGCAGCGACGCCGCGUGGGUGAAGGAGCGUUUCGGCGCGUAAAGCCCUAUCGGCAGGGAAGAAGGAGGACGGUACCUGACUAAGAAGCCCCGGCUAACUACGUGCCAGCAGCCGCGGUAAUACGUAGGGGGCAAGCGUUAUCCGGAUUUACUGGGUGUAAAGGGGGCGCAGACGGCAGCGCAAGCCAGGAGUGAAAGCCCGGGGCCCAACCCCGGGACUGCUCUUGGAACUGCGCGGCUGGAGUGCAGGAGGGGCAGGCGGAAUUCCUGGUGUAGCGGUGAAAUGCGUAGAUAUCAGGAGGAACACCGGUGGCGAAGGCGGCCUGCUGGACUGCGACUGACGUUGAGGCCCGAAAGCGUGGGGAGCAAACAGGAUUAGAUACCCGAGUAUA
RNAcentral lists this ribosomal RNA (448 nucleotides) under uncultured bacterium. RNAcentral describes it as "partial 16S ribosomal RNA". It matches the Rfam family "Bacterial small subunit ribosomal RNA", at positions 330 to 794 of the family's 1533-position model. The record is from RNAcentral.